GACGAACGCUGGCGGCGUGCUUAACACAUGCAAGUCGAGCGGUAAGGCCCUUUCGGGGGUACACGAGCGGCGAACGGGUGAGUAACACGUGGGUGACCUGCCCUCAGCUCUGGGGAUAAGCCUGGGAAACCGGGUCUAAUACUGGAUAUGACUCCAUGACGCAUGUUGUGGGGUGGAAAGCCUUGUGCGGCUGAGGAUGGGCCCGCGGCCUAUCAGCUUGUUGGUGGGGUGAUGGCCUACCAAGGCGACGACGGGUAGCCGGCCUGAGAGGGCGACCGGCCACACUGGGACUGAGACACGGCCCAGACUCCUACGGGAGGCAGCAGUGGGGAAUCUUGCGCAAUGGGCGAAAGCCUGACGCAGCGACGCCGCGUGAGGGAUGACGGCCU
This 389-nucleotide ribosomal RNA is filed under the name uncultured bacterium. RNAcentral's name for it is "bacterial SSU rRNA". It matches the Rfam family "Bacterial small subunit ribosomal RNA", at positions 28 to 417 of the family's 1533-position model. The record is from RNAcentral.